Molecule: unclassified non-coding RNA, 310 nt
Filed under: plant metagenome
Description: partial contains 5.8S ribosomal RNA, internal transcribed spacer 2, and large subunit ribosomal RNA
Rfam family: 5.8S ribosomal RNA (bases 1-105)
Source: RNAcentral
GAAAUGCGAUAAGUAGUGUGAAUUGCAGAAUUCAGUGAAUCAUCGAAUCUUUGAACGCACAUUGCGCCCCUUGGUAUUCCAUGGGGCAUGCCUGUUCGAGCGUCAUUUGUACCCUCAAGCUCUGCUUGGUGUUGGGUGUUUGUCCCCGUCUCCGCGCGUGGACUCGCCCCAAAGUGAUUGGCAGCCGGCGUACAGGUCCCGGAGCGCAGCACAUGUCGCGCAAACGAGUGCCUUGGUACGGCGGCGUCCAUAAGCCCCUCUCUCACGCUCUUGACCUCGGAUCAGGUAGGGAUACCCGCUGAACUUAAGC